UUCUUACAAAUAUUUUUCCUCAGUUAUUGUAAAUGCUGGUCUCUGCAGCUUUCUGAAGCAGAUCAAAAUAAAUGCAAAGGUAACAUUUUAAUCUCUUUGCAGGAAACGCAGACCUCAAUAACGGCCGGUACCAGGUUCCCUUCUCCGCUUCCACGGUUCACAGGCUUGCUCAGAAUUAAGCAGGGAGCAGUUUGGCACUUAAGCAGUUCUUGACCUGAAGAACAAAACAAUAAGGGAGGUCAAAGUUUACGAAAUGAAGGGGCUCGCUACUGACACACCAUUAAAGCUGCAUCAAGGCAUAAGCAUUAAGGACUUUGGAGUAAUGUAGAAGUUAAAGACAAUUUAUCGCCUCGCUUGGGG
RNAcentral lists this long non-coding RNA (360 nucleotides) under Struthio camelus australis. Its description in RNAcentral is "lncRNA (ENSSCUG00000017800.1)". Lineage: Eukaryota; Metazoa; Chordata; Aves; Struthioniformes; Struthionidae. The record is from RNAcentral.